AUGUCUGUCAUUAAAUUUCCUAAGUGGGCAAUUAAUGCUAUCACUUCACAGAUGGCUCAUUUCUUCUGGGGAAAUCUGGGGGAUGACCAUAAAUACCAUCUUGCUAACUGGGGCCUAAUUUCACAGAAAAAAGAUUUUGGUGGUUUGGGGGUACCCAAUCUAAGAGAAUUUAACAUGGCUUUGCUGGCUUCUUGGGCUAAAAGAUAUUUCAUGGAUAGUGAUAAAGAUUGGGUUAGAUUGGUAGAUCAUAAGUAUCGAACCAAUAAACCUAAUCUGUUGUGGUCCAAACAGAGAAUGGGGUCACCUUUCUGGAAGGGUGUUACUUGGGAUUUUGAAGGGAUAAGACAUUUUUUUAAAUGGAACUUAGGAAAUGGUGAC
This 378-nucleotide ribosomal RNA is filed under the name Triticum aestivum (bread wheat). RNAcentral's name for it is "partial small subunit ribosomal RNA". The record is from RNAcentral. Lineage: Eukaryota; Viridiplantae; Streptophyta; Magnoliopsida; Poales; Poaceae.